This is a long non-coding RNA of Equus asinus (donkey), 1548 nucleotides long. NCBI's taxonomy places the organism in Eukaryota, Metazoa, Chordata, Mammalia, Perissodactyla, Equidae. The record is from Ensembl.
UCACCAUCUACUAAGUUUGCAUCGAUGUCCAGCAAUGAGCACAUAUAAACGUAAUGUUCUCAUAAUGUUGUUCGCAGCUGCAUCUCAUGGUGCCUAGCAUGGUACCUGGCCUGUAUAGAUGCUAAAAAAAAAUUUGAUAAACAAUCAGCGAAUGACAGAAUGCUUAAUACCUUUUUGCUAACUGAUUCUAUAUCCUAUAUCAUGGCCAGAGAAGAAACCAAGUUCAAGAAAGCAAGACAACUGUAGGCGUGUGCUUCUGGAAAAGGGGAUGCUGGGCGGGCAGGGAGUGGCUCUGUCGUUCUGGUGAGGAUUGAGGCAGAAGAAAUUUGGAAAGUGAAGCAUGAAGCCGGAGGUGCCAUUAUGGUCUGGGGAGGUCCAGGGGAGGCCCAUGGGAGUGUGGGGUGCGUGGCUACAGGUCCGUGUCAGAGGAGCCGAGGUUUCUGGGUGUGCACAAUUGUGCGGAGGCCUUGGACCUCCUAUCCUUGCUAAGUGCUGCAGAAUGUCAUCCCCGGGAGAUGAGAGAGGGACAUCCUAGCCGAGAGCAAGACAGAGCCCAAACCAGAACUCCUUAGAGUCCUUUGCCUCUUGCCAACCAUUUGGCGGCAAAAGAUGGAAGCUGUUUUGCUUCUUGAGACCCUCAGAAACCAGAAGAGUGGGUUCUGGUUACACUUGAUCUUGGGCAGUUGGAGUUCUCUCAAUUCUAUGCCCUUUGACUUCUAACAGUAACUGUGCCGCUACAAUGCAUUUGAUAGCAAAGCAAGUGAGGAUGACAAAUCCCUACAUGAUAAAAAUAGCUACUGUUUAUUAAGGACCUUCACUCUUUUCAGUUACUGUAUUAGGUACAUUUCCAAGUUACCUCACGUAAGCCCCAAAAUAACCCUAUGGGUUAAGUAUCACGAUUCACAUUUUAUAGUUAAGGAAACUAAAGCUCUUACAAUUGCCCCCAAAAUACAUAGCUAAUCCAGCCACGGGGCUUCUACCUGACCCCAAACCUGGGCGCUUUCCAGUAGAGUCUAUUGCUUGCCUCCCACACGCAUGCACUGUUCCCUCACACCUUAAACUAUUUCUGGGAUUCGAUCCUAUACAGCUCUCCAAUCAUGUCCUUCUGGGGUCGUCCUGGCAACUCACCAACUGCAGUAAAUAUCGCGAAAGGAGUUUGUCUCUUUCUGGGAUCAGCAGGUCUCAGCUGAUCCGUUACGUUCACCAUGGGAAUCUAAGAAUUUAUCAUCUGAGUGAAGAGUUGCCUUCCUCCCAGGGCUUCUCCAAGUUUUUCUCGAAGGAUUCCACCGGCCAGACAGGGCUCUGGAAGCUCAGCCCUCAAGACUUGCCGCACGUGGGAGGCUGCUGGGAGACCGUUUUGAAAAUGCAAGCACACACAGCAACAAGGACGCAUCCCACAAAUGAAACGUUCCGCAAAAGAAGUCUGCCUCAAACGACUGUGCACAAUAGUGUUCCAUUUACAUCAAGUUUUAAAGGGGGCCAAGCCAAUCGAAGGUGUCAGAAGCCAGUGUAGGGGCUACGUGGAGGAAGGGGGACAAUGGAGAGGGG